GCAAGGUCGUCUUGAUCGAUGUUGCCUUCCGCGUCACAGGCCACCGCCACAACUUUGAGGCCAGCCAUCACCG
RNAcentral lists this transfer RNA (73 nucleotides) under Synechococcus sp. CC9902. Its description in RNAcentral is "tRNA-Met". Lineage: Bacteria; Bacillati; Cyanobacteriota; Cyanophyceae; Synechococcales; Synechococcaceae. The record is from RNAcentral.